Molecule: ribosomal RNA, 234 nt
Filed under: uncultured bacterium
Lineage: Bacteria
Description: partial 16S ribosomal RNA
Rfam family: Bacterial small subunit ribosomal RNA
Source: RNAcentral
CGGGACGGGUGGGUAAUGUCUGGAAAGGUAGCCUAGUGGAGGGGGAUAACUACUGGAAACGGUAGCUAAUACCGCAUAACGUCGCAAGACCAAAGAGGGGGACCUUCGGGCCUCUUGCCAUCGGAUGUGCCCAGAUGGGAUUAGCUAGUAGGUGGGGUAACGGCUCACCUAGGCGACGAUCCCUAGCUGGUCUGAGAGGAUGACCAGCCACACUGGAACUGAGACACGGUCCAG